UUUUAUGAGAGUUUGAUCCUGGCUCAGGACGAACGCUGGCGGCGUGCCUAAUACAUGCAAGUCGAACGCUUCUUUUUCCACCGGAGCUUGCUCCACCGGAAAAAGAGGAGUGGCGAACGGGUGAGUAACACGUGGGUAACCUGCCCAUCAGAAGGGGAUAACACUUGGAAACAGGUGCUAAUACCGUAUAACAAUCGAAACCGCAUGGUUUUGAUUUGAAAGGCGCUUUCGGGUGUCGCUGAUGGAUGGACCCGCGGUGCAUUAGCUAGUUGGUGAGGUAACGGCUCACCAAGGCCACGAUGCAUAGCCGACCUGAGAGGGUGAUCGGCCACAUUGGGACUGAGACACGGCCCAAACUCCUACGGGAGGCAGCAGUAGGGAAUCUUCGGCAAUGGACGAAAGUCUGACCGAGCAACGCCGCGUGAGUGAAGAAGGUUUUCGGAUCGUAAAACUCUGUUGUUAGAGAAGAACAAGGAUGAGAGUAACUGUUCAUCCCUUGACGGUAUCUAACCAGAAAGCCACGGCUAACUACGUGCCAGCAGCCGCGGUAAUACGUAGGUGGCAAGCGUUGUCCGGAUUUAUUGGGCGUAAAGCGAGCGCAGGCGGUUUCUUAAGUCUGAUGUGAAAGCCCCCGGCUCAACCGGGGAGGGUCAUUGGAAACUGGGAGACUUGAGUGCAGAAGAGGAGAGUGGAAUUCCAUGUGUAGCGGUGAAAUGCGUAGAUAUAUGGAGGAACACCAGUGGCGAAGGCGGCUCUCUGGUCUGUAACUGACGCUGAGGCUCGAAAGCGUGGGGAGCAAACAGGAUUAGAUACCCUGGUAGUCCACGCCGUAAACGAUGAGUGCUAAGUGUUGGAGGGUUUCCGCCCUUCAGUGCUGCAGCUAACGCAUUAAGCACUCCGCCUGGGGAGUACGACCGCAAGGUUGAAACUCAAAGGAAUUGACGGGGGCCCGCACAAGCGGUGGAGCAUGUGGUU
This 975-nucleotide ribosomal RNA is filed under the name Klebsiella grimontii. RNAcentral describes it as "bacterial SSU rRNA". It matches the Rfam family "Bacterial small subunit ribosomal RNA", at positions 1 to 946 of the family's 1533-position model. Lineage: Bacteria; Pseudomonadati; Pseudomonadota; Gammaproteobacteria; Enterobacterales; Enterobacteriaceae. The record is from RNAcentral.